RNAcentral lists this ribosomal RNA (266 nucleotides) under uncultured Staphylococcus sp. Its description in RNAcentral is "partial 16S ribosomal RNA". It matches the Rfam family "Bacterial small subunit ribosomal RNA", at positions 96 to 354 of the family's 1533-position model. The record is from RNAcentral. Lineage: Bacteria; Bacillati; Bacillota; Bacilli; Caryophanales; Staphylococcaceae.
CGGCGGACGGGUGAGUAACACGUUGAUAACCUACCUAUAAGACUGGGAUAACUUCGGGAAACCGGAGCUAAUACCGGAUAAUAUAUUGAACCGCAUGGUUCAAUAGUGAAAGACGGUUUUGCUGUCACUUAUAGAUGGAUCCGCGCUGCAUUAGCUAGUUGGUAAGGUAACGGCUUACCAAGGCAACGAUGCGUAGCCGACCUGAGAGGGUGAUCGGCCACACUGGAACUGAGACACGGUCCAGACUCCUACGGGAGGCAGCAGGG